UGCAGUCGAGCGGAUGAAGGGAGCUUGCUCCUGGAUUCAGCGGCGGACGGGUGAGUAAUGCCUAGGAAUCUGCCUGGUAGUGGGGGAUAACGUCCGGAAACGGGCGCUAAUACCGCAUACGUCCUGAGGGAGAAAGUGGGGGAUCUUCGGACCUCACGCUAUCAGAUGAGCCUAGGUCGGAUUAGCUAGUUGGUGGGGUAAAGGCCUACCAAGGCGACGAUCCGUAACUGGUCUGAGAGGAUGAUCAGUCACACUGGAACUGAGACACGGUCCAGACUCCUACGGGAGGCAGCAGUGGGGAAUAUUGGACAAUGGGCGAAAGCCUGAUCCAGCCAUGCCGCGUGUGUGAAGAAGGUCUUCGGAUUGUAAAGCACUUUAAGUUGGGAGGAAGGGCAGUAAGUUAAUACCUUGCUGUUUUGACGUUACCAACAGAAUAAGCACCGGCUAACUUCGUGCCAGCAGCCGCGGUAAUACGAAGGGUGCAAGCGUUAAUCGGAUUUACUGGGCGUAAAGCGCGCGUAGGUGGUUCAGCAAGUUGGAUGUGAAAUCCCCGGGCUCAACCUGGGAACUGCAUCCAAAACUACUGAGCUAGAGUACGGUAGAGGGUGGUGGAAUUUCCUGUGUAGC
Molecule: ribosomal RNA, 627 nt
Filed under: Pseudomonas sp. Horo_31
Lineage: Bacteria; Pseudomonadati; Pseudomonadota; Gammaproteobacteria; Pseudomonadales; Pseudomonadaceae
Also listed under: 1 other name
Description: bacterial SSU rRNA
Rfam family: Bacterial small subunit ribosomal RNA
Source: RNAcentral